This 382-nucleotide ribosomal RNA is filed under the name uncultured eukaryote. RNAcentral describes it as "partial 18S ribosomal RNA". It matches the Rfam family "Eukaryotic small subunit ribosomal RNA", at positions 592 to 976 of the family's 1831-position model. The record is from RNAcentral.
UGUAAGCGUAUACCAAAGUUGUUGCAGUUAAAACGCUCGUAGUCGGAAUUUGGCAGUUCCGGAUGUGUGCACGUCGUGUGCGCACUUCGCGGGGAUUGCUUUUGUGGUCUUGCGUAGGAUGAGGCACUUUUAUUAGUGAACGUCCUCACGCAACCACUUUUUACUGUGAGAAAAUCAGAGUGCUCAAAGCAGGCAUUUGCCGUGAAUGUAUUAGCAUGGAAUAAUAGAAUAGGACUUGGUUCUAUUUUGUUGGUUUGUCGGGACUGAGUAAUGAUUAAGAGGGACUGUUGGGGGCAUUUGUAUUUCGGUGCUAGAGGUGAAAUUCUUAGAUUACCGAAAGACAAACUGCUGCGAAAGCGUCUGCCAAGGAUGUUUUCAUUGA